This 525-nucleotide ribosomal RNA is filed under the name uncultured bacterium. Its description in RNAcentral is "bacterial SSU rRNA". It matches the Rfam family "Bacterial small subunit ribosomal RNA", at positions 355 to 896 of the family's 1533-position model. The record is from RNAcentral.
UGGGGAAUAUUGCACAAUGGGCGAAAGCCUGAUGCAGCAACGCCGUGUGAAUGAAGAAGGCCUUAGGGUCGUAAAAUUCUGUCCUAAGGGAAGAAAAAGAUGACGGUACCUUAGGAGGAAGCCCCGGCUAACUACGUGCCAGCAGCCGCGGUAAUACGUAGGGGGCAAGCGUUAUCCGGAAUUAUUGGGCGUAAAGAGUACGUAGGUGGCUAUAUAAGCGCAUGGUGAAAGGCAGAGGCUUAACCACUGUUAGCCUUGCGAACUGUAUAGCUUGAGUGCAGGAGAGGGAAGCGGAAUUCCUAGUGUAGCGGUGAAAUGCGUAGAUAUUAGGAGGAACACCAGUGGCGAAGGCGGCUUUCUGGACUGUAACUGACACUGAGGUACGAAAGCGUGGGGAGCAAACAGGAUUAGAUACCCUGGUAGUCCACGCCGUAAACGAUGAGCACUAGGUGUCGGUAUCGUAAGAUAUCGGUGCCGAAGUUAACGCAUUAAGUGCUCCGCCUGGGGAGUACGCACGCAAGUGUG